GGUCAAUGCUAUCGGGGUCCGACUAAGCCAUGCGAGUUGUGUGUUCUUUGUGAGCACGGCGGACUGCUCAGUAACACGUGGACAAUCUGCCCUUGGGUCUGGGAUAACUCCGGGAAACUGGAGAUAAUACCAGAUAGGUCAUAGAUGCUGGAAUGCUCUAUGGCCCAAAGCUCCGGCGCCCAAGGAUGAGUCUGCGGCCUAUCAGGUUGUAGUGGGCGUAAUGGACCCACUAGCCUACGACGGGUACGGGUUGUGAGAGCAAGAGCCCGGAGAUGGAUUCUGAGACAUGAAUCCAGGCCCUACGGGGCGCAGCAGGCGCGAAACCUUUACAAUGCGCGCAAGCGCCGAAUAAGGGGACCUCGAAGUUGUUUCCUACCUAGUUAGGAACUGUUCCAGUUGUCUAAAAAACAACUGUUAGCAAGAGCCGGGCAAGACCGGUGCCAGCCGCCGCGGUAACACCGGCGGCUCGAGUGGUGACCGCUUUUAUUGGGUCUAAAGGGUCUGUAGCCGGUCUAACAAGUUCUUUGGAAAAUCUGGUCGCUUAACGAUCAGGCUGCUAGGGGAUACUGUUAGACUUGGGACCGGGAGAGGCUAGAGGUACUUUAAGGGUAGGGGUGAAAUCCUGUGAUCCUUAAAGGACCACCAGUGGCGAAGGCGUCUAGCUAGAACGGAUCCGACGGUGAGGGACGAAAGCUGGGGGCACGAACCGGAUUAGAUACCCGGGUAGUCUCAGCCGUAAACGAUGCGAGCUAGGUGUCAGUUUUACUGCGAGUAAAAUUGGUGCCGUAGGGAAGCCGUGAAGCUCGCCACCUGGGAAGUACGGCCGCAAGGCUGAAACUUAAAGGAAUUGGCGGGGGAGCACUACAACGGGUGGAGCCUGCGGUUU
RNAcentral lists this ribosomal RNA (886 nucleotides) under uncultured archaeon. RNAcentral describes it as "bacterial SSU rRNA". It matches the Rfam family "Archaeal small subunit ribosomal RNA", at positions 21 to 903 of the family's 1478-position model. The record is from RNAcentral.